UGGGGUGUCGCCAAGCGGCAAGGCACGGGACUUUGACUCCCGCAUUCGCAAGGUUCGAAUCCUGCCACCCCAGCCA
RNAcentral lists this transfer RNA (76 nucleotides) under Clostridiales bacterium. Its description in RNAcentral is "tRNA-Gln". It matches the Rfam family "tRNA". Rfam says of the family: Transfer RNA (tRNA) molecules are approximately 80 nucleotides in length. Their secondary structure includes four short double-helical elements and three loops (D, anti-codon, and T loops). The record is from RNAcentral. RNAcentral also lists the same sequence under 6 other names. Lineage: Bacteria; Bacillati; Bacillota; Clostridia; Eubacteriales.